GACGAACGCUGGCGGCGUGCUUAACACAUGCAAGUCGAGCGGUAAGGCCCUUUCGGGGGUACACGAGCGGCGAACGGGUGAGUAACACGUGGGUGACCUGCCCUCAGCUCUGGGAUAAGCCUGGGAAACCGGGUCUAAUACCGGAUAUGACUCCAUGACGCAUGUUGUGGGGUGGAAAGCCUUGUGCGGCUGAGGAUGGGCCCGCGGCCUAUCAGCUUGUUGGUGGGGUGAGGCCUACCAAGGCGACGACGGGUAGCCGGCCUGAGAGGGCGACCGGCCACACUGGGACUGAGACACGGCCCAGACUCCUACGGGAGGGCAGCAGUGGGGAAUCUUGCGCAAUGGGCGAAAGCCUGACGCAGCGACGCCGCGUGAGGGAUGAC
RNAcentral lists this ribosomal RNA (383 nucleotides) under uncultured bacterium. RNAcentral's name for it is "bacterial SSU rRNA". It matches the Rfam family "Bacterial small subunit ribosomal RNA", at positions 28 to 412 of the family's 1533-position model. The record is from RNAcentral.